RNAcentral lists this long non-coding RNA (1092 nucleotides) under Numida meleagris (helmeted guineafowl). Its description in RNAcentral is "lncRNA (ENSNMEG00000005719.1)". Lineage: Eukaryota; Metazoa; Chordata; Aves; Galliformes; Numididae. The record is from RNAcentral.
CUCUGCUGACUUUUCCCAUGAGGUCUUAGGAUAUGGAGGUCUAGGACAUAUGCUGAAACUCUGUUUUUCCUAUGGGAGGAAUAUCAUUUUCUCUAUUACUUAGUGAGAGACUGCAUGGGACUGUGUUGGAUUGUAACUCAUGGCAGGCUGAGAGUAGUUAAUAUGGAGUAGGAAUGAUUCAUGUUUCAGCUCCUAAAAUUAUCCUCCUCAUAAGGACUUCCUGCAUCCUUUGUUACCACCCCGCAACAUCACUGUGGUGGCCCAAUGGCCCUUGGUGGCUGGAAAAGACAUUAAGAAGGACAUCUUCCUCCAGAGCUGGUGGCAAGACACUGGCCAUACAGCGUGCCCUGCAGACACUGGCGGGGGUCAGGUGUCCAGCAUCAUAUGGGUCUGCAGUGAGGAAUAUUUGGAUCUGCAAUGGGGAACGUGGCCAACCCAGAGCUCAGGGCUUGAGGCUAAAUGUGCGCAGCCCGUUCCAUGAAGCUGCUAGCUGCUGCAGCCUGUAGCAUGAAGCACUGUAUUCCCCAAAUGCCUGACCAUACAAAGGAACAGAAGGCAUUAUCUGCAUGUCUCAAGAGAGGAGAGACUGCGAUUUGCUGCAGCACCUGACUUCCUCAGCAGCCAGGCACUCCUGCAGCGAGCAGCACGCCGGUGACUCACCCAGCGUCAGACAGAAAGUCUGCAGCACCACGACGGCAACUUCACUCCUCUGUGCACACAGAGCACUUCCAGCAUCCAGGGUGCAGUGACACUUCCCCUCACUCCCUCCGAGCAGCAUUAUUUCAUCGUGUCUGCCAGGCACAACUUGCUGCUGGAAUUUGAUGCUUUUAUCUCUGCUCUUUGAUGGACACCCCAGUGGCACAUUUGACUCAUCCUAUUUCUAAUGUUGUCGUGAUAGGAUUCAACACCCCCUCCGUUCUCCCCAGACUCUGUAGAAAAGGUAAAUUUGGAAACCUUUUGCUCAGAGUGACUGAUGAUAGCAGCUCUGUUGUGCCUGAGAAAAUCUCUCACAAUCUAUGAGUUCAAAAACCAUAGGAAUGUUGUUGCUAUGGCUGUGCAUUGUGUUGACUGUGGCUGAGCAAGGUGCACAAC